RNAcentral lists this ribosomal RNA (270 nucleotides) under uncultured archaeon. RNAcentral describes it as "partial 16S ribosomal RNA". It matches the Rfam family "Archaeal small subunit ribosomal RNA", at positions 477 to 747 of the family's 1478-position model. The record is from RNAcentral.
CAGCCCCUCGAGUGGUGGGGAUGAUUAUUUGGCCUAAAGCGUCCGUAGCCGGCCGAGCAAGUCUUCCGUUAAAUCCAGCGUCUCAAGCGUUGGACUGCGGGAGAUACUACAUGGCUAGAGAGUGGGAGAGGUCAGCGGUAUUCUGGGGGUAGGGGCGAAAUCCUUUGAUCCCCGGAGGACCACCAGUGGCGAAGGCUGCUGACUAGAACACGUCUGACGGUCAGGGAUGAAAGCUGGGGUAGCGAACCGGAUUAGAUACCCGAGUAGUCC